GACGAACCGUACGAACGUUAUUCGGAAUCACUGGGCUUAAAGGGUGCGUAGGCGGCGCGACAAGUUGGGUGUGAAAUCCCUCGGCUCAACCGAGGAACUGCACCCAAAACUGUCGUGCUCGAGGGAGACAGAGGUGAGCGGAACUUAGGGUGGAGCGGUGAAAUGCGUUGAUAUCCUAAGGAACACCGGUGGCGAAAGCGGCUCACUGGGUCUCUUCUGACGCUGAGGCACGAAAGCUAGGGUAGCGAACGGG
RNAcentral lists this ribosomal RNA (253 nucleotides) under uncultured bacterium. RNAcentral describes it as "partial 16S ribosomal RNA". It matches the Rfam family "Bacterial small subunit ribosomal RNA", at positions 524 to 776 of the family's 1533-position model. The record is from RNAcentral.